UUAAGCGACUAAGCGUACACGGUGGAUGCCCUGGCAGUCAGAGGCGAUGAAGGACGUGCUAAUCUGCGAUAAGCGUCGGUAAGGUGAUAUGAACCGUUAUAACCGGCGAUUUCCGAAUGGGGAAACCCAGUGUGUUUCGACACACUAUCAUUAACUGAAUCCAUAGGUUAAUGAGGCGAACCGGGGGAACUGAAACAUCUAAGUACCCCGAGGAAAAGAAAUCAACCGAGAUUCCCCCAGUAGCGGCGAGCGAACGGGGAGCAGCCCAGAGCCUGAAUCAGUGUGUGUGUUAGUGGAAGCGUCUGGAAAGGCGCGCGAUACAGGGUGACAGCCCCGUACACAAAAAUGCACAUACUGUGAGCUCGAUGAGUAGGGCGGGACACGUGGUAUCCUGUCUGAAUAUGGGGGGACCAUCCUCCAAGGCUAAAUACUCCUGACUGACCGAUAGUGAACCAGUACCGUGAGGGAAAGGCGAAAAGAACCCCGGCGAGGGGAGUGAAAAAGAACCUGAAACCGUGUACGUACAAGCAGUGGGAGCACGCUUAGGCGUGUGACUGCGUACCUUUUGUAUAAUGGGUCAGCGACUUAUAUUCUGUAGCAAGGUUAACCGAAUAGGGGAGCCGAAGGGAAACCGAGUCUUAACUGGGCGUUAAGUUGCAGGGUAUAGACCCGAAACCCGGUGAUCUAGCCAUGGGCAGGUUGAAGGUUGGGUAACACUAACUGGAGGACCGAACCGACUAAUGUUGAAAAAUUAGCGGAUGACUUGUGGCUGGGGGUGAAAGGCCAAUCAAACCGGGAGAUAGCUGGUUCUCCCCGAAAGCUAUUUAGGUAGCGCCUCGUGAAUUCAUCUCCGGGGGUAGAGCACUGUUUCGGCAAGGGGGUCAUCCCGACUUACCAACCCGAUGCAAACUGCGAAUACCGGAGAAUGUUAUCACGGGAGACACACGGCGGGUGCUAACGUCCGUCGUGAAGAGGGAAACAACCCAGACCGCCAGCUAAGGUCCCAAAGUCAUGGUUAAGUGGGAAACGAUGUGGGAAGGCCCAGACAGCCAGGAUGUUGGCUUAGAAGCAGCCAUCAUUUAAAGAAAGCGUAAUAGCUCACUGGUCGAGUCGGCCUGCGCGGAAGAUGUAACGGGGCUAAACCAUGCACCGAAGCUGCGGCAGCGACGCUGAUGCGUUGUUGGGUAGGGGAGCGUUCUGUAAGCCUGCGAAGGUGUGCUGUGAGGCAUGCUGGAGGUAUCAGAAGUGCGAAUGCUGACAUAAGUAACGAUAAAGCGGGUGAAAAGCCCGCUCGCCGGAAGACCAAGGGUUCCUGUCCAACGUUAAUCGGGGCAGGGUGAGUCGACCCCUAAGGCGAGGCCGAAAGGCGUAGUCGAUGGGAAACAGGUUAAUAUUCCUGUACUUGGUGUUACUGCGAAGGGGGGACGGAGAAGGCUAUGUUGGCCGGGCGACGGUUGUCCCGGUUUAAGCGUGUAGGCUGGUUUUCCAGGCAAAUCCGGAAAAUCAAGGCUGAGGCGUGAUGACGAGGCACUACGGUGCUGAAGCAACAAAUGCCCUGCUUCCAGGAAAAGCCUCUAAGCAUCAGGUAACAUCAAAUCGUACCCCAAACCGACACAGGUGGUCAGGUAGAGAAUACCAAGGCGCUUGAGAGAACUCGGGUGAAGGAACUAGGCAAAAUGGUGCCGUAACUUCGGGAGAAGGCACGCUGAUAUGUAGGUGAAGUCCCUCGCGGAUGGAGCUGAAAUCAGUCGAAGAUACCAGCUGGCUGCAACUGUUUAUUAAAAACACAGCACUGUGCAAACACGAAAGUGGACGUAUACGGUGUGACGCCUGCCCGGUGCCGGAAGGUUAAUUGAUGGGGUCAGCGCAAGCGAAGCUCUUGAUCGAAGCCCCGGUAAACGGCGGCCGUAACUAUAACGGUCCUAAGGUAGCGAAAUUCCUUGUCGGGUAAGUUCCGACCUGCACGAAUGGCGUAAUGAUGGCCAGGCUGUCUCCACCCGAGACUCAGUGAAAUUGAACUCGCUGUGAAGAUGCAGUGUACCCGCGGCAAGACGGAAAGACCCCGUGAACCUUUACUAUAGCUUGACACUGAACAUUGAGCCUUGAUGUGUAGGAUAGGUGGGAGGCUUUGAAGUGUGGACGCCAGUCUGCAUGGAGCCGACCUUGAAAUACCACCCUUUAAUGUUUGAUGUUCUAACGUUGACCCGUGAUCCGGGUUGCGGACAGUGUCUGGUGGGUAGUUUGACUGGGGCGGUCUCCUCCUAAAGAGUAACGGAGGAGCACGAAGGUUGGCUAAUCCUGGUCGGACAUCAGGAGGUUAGUGCAAUGGCAUAAGCCAGCUUGACUGCGAGCGUGACGGCGCGAGCAGGUGCGAAAGCAGGUCAUAGUGAUCCGGUGGUUCUGAAUGGAAGGGCCAUCGCUCAACGGAUAAAAGGUACUCCGGGGAUAACAGGCUGAUACCGCCCAAGAGUUCAUAUCGACGGCGGUGUUUGGCACCUCGAUGUCGGCUCAUCACAUCCUGGGGCUGAAGUAGGUCCCAAGGGUAUGGCUGUUCGCCAUUUAAAGUGGUACGCGAGCUGGGUUUAGAACGUCGUGAGACAGUUCGGUCCCUAUCUGCCGUGGGCGCUGGAGAACUGAGGGGGGCUGCUCCUAGUACGAGAGGACCGGAGUGGACGCAUCACUGGUGUUCGGGUUGUCAUGCCAAUGGCACUGCCCGGUAGCUAAAUGCGGAAGAGAUAAGUGCUGAAAGCAUCUAAGCACGAAACUUGCCCCGAGAUGAGUUCUCCCUGACUCCUUGAGAGUCCUGAAGGAACGUUGAAGACGACGACGUUGAUAGGCCGGGUGUGUAAGCGCAGCGAUGCGUUGAGCUAACCGGUACUAAUGAACCGUGAGGCUUAACCUU
Molecule: ribosomal RNA, 2902 nt
Filed under: Escherichia coli
Lineage: Bacteria; Pseudomonadati; Pseudomonadota; Gammaproteobacteria; Enterobacterales; Enterobacteriaceae
Description: bacterial LSU rRNA
Rfam family: Bacterial large subunit ribosomal RNA
Source: RNAcentral